UUAAACAACCUAUAUACUCCACACUUAACCAGCAUUUGAUAGAUUAUCCAACCCCGAGCAAUCUUAGUUAUUGGUGGGGGUUCGGUUCGUUAGCAGGUAUUUGUUUAGUCAUUCAGAUAGUGACUGGCGUUUUUUAGCUAUGCAUCACACACCUCAUGUGGAUCUAGCUUUCAACAGCGUAGAACACAUUAUGAGAGAUGUUGAAGGGGGCUGGUUGCUCCGUUAUAUGCAUGCUAAUGGGGCAGGUAUGUUUCUCAUUGUGGUUCACCUUCAUAUUUUUCGUGGUCUAUAUCAUGCGAGUUAUAGCAGUCCUAGGGAAUUUGUUCGGUGUCUCGGAGUUGUCAUAUUCCUAUUAAUGAUUGUGACAGCUUUUAUAGGAUACGUACCACCUUGGGGUCAGAUGAGCUUUUGGGGAGCAACAGUAAUUACAAGCUUAGCUAGCGCCAUACCAGUAGUAGGAGAUACCAUAGUGACUUGGCUUUGGGGUGGUUUCUCCGUGGACAAUGCCACCUUAAAUCGUUUUUUUAGUCUCCAUCAUUUACUCCCCCUUAUUUUAGUAGGCGCCAGUCUUCUUCAUCUGGCCGCAUUGCAUCAAUAUGGAUCAAAUAAUCCAUUGGGUGUACAUUCUGAGAUGGAUAAAAUUGCUUCUUACCCUUAUUUUUAUGUAAAGGAUCUUGUAGGUCGAGUAGUUUCUGCUAUCCUUUUUUCCAUUUGGAUUUUUUUUGCUCCUAAUGUUUUGGGGCAUCCCGACAAUUAUAUACCUGCUAAUCCGAUGCCCACCCUGCCUCAUAUUGUGCCGGAAUGGUAUUUCCUACCGAUCCAUGCCAUUCUUCACAGUAUACCUGACAAAGUGGGAGGUGUAGCCGCAAUAGCACCAGUUUUUAUAUCUCUCUUGGCUUUACCUUUUUUUUAAAGAAAUGUAUGUGCGUAGUUCAAGUUUUCGACCGAUUCACCAAGGAAUAUUUUGGUUGCUUUUGGCGGAUUGCUUACUACUAGGUUGGAUCGGAUGUCAACCUGUGGAGGCACCAUUUGUUACUAUUGGACAAAUUCCUUCUGUCUUUUUAUUCUUGUUCUUUGCCAUAACGCCCAUUCCGGGACGAGUUGGAAGAGGAAUUCCAAAAUAUUACACGGAUGAGACUCAUCGCACCAGAUCCUUUUCUCCUUUUGGCCAUAGCCAUAGAAGAAGCUGCUCCUCCGAAGCGGAGGGAGGGGAAUCUAUUGAUUCCUAUAACCCUGCUUAUAUAGCGUUUUUAAGACAACAUUUAGGGUUUUUCCCGGGUUUGGUACCAAAUCUGGAUAAACUCCUUUCGGUUCUUAAACCGGAGGAAAUUCUCUUUUUGGCUUUCCGCUUUCCGCGGGAUGCGAACAUGUUUAAAUUGCCCCUAAAGAAGAUCAAAGAUAUGAUUAAAGAAGUAAUGGCUAAAGAGGAGGAAAACAGAUACAAGCCUCUGGUGGAAGGUUGUGAAGACCUAAGUAUGACGGAGGAGGAAAACAGAUACAAGCCUCCGGUGGAAGGUUGUGAAGACCUAAGUAUGACGGAGGAGGAAAGGAAAAAAUUGCUGGAAGCAUUUUCUUUCCUAUGGGAUAAAAACAAUGAAUUGGAACUAUUGAGUGGUGUAGGUAUCCAUCUUAGCAAACAGAGAUACCGAGGCCCACCAACCUACUACUUGUUGGUUUGGUGGGGAAAGAGGAGUGGGUAUGAG
Molecule: long non-coding RNA, 1703 nt
Filed under: Triticum aestivum (bread wheat)
Lineage: Eukaryota; Viridiplantae; Streptophyta; Magnoliopsida; Poales; Poaceae
Description: long non-coding RNA (TAES_LNC023290)
Source: RNAcentral